RNAcentral lists this ribosomal RNA (494 nucleotides) under uncultured soil bacterium. RNAcentral describes it as "bacterial SSU rRNA". It matches the Rfam family "Bacterial small subunit ribosomal RNA", at positions 26 to 518 of the family's 1533-position model. The record is from RNAcentral.
AGAUUGAACGCUGGCGGAAUGCUUUACACAUGCAAGUCGAACGGCAGCACGGGGGCAACCCUGGUGGCGAGUGGCGAACGGGUGAGUAAUACAUCGGAACGUGUCCUGUAAUGGGGGAUAACCUGGCGAAAGCCAGGCUAAUACCGCAUACGUCCUACGGGAGAAAGCGGGGGAUCGCAAGACCUCGCGUUAUAGGAGCGGCCGAUGUCGGAUUAGCUAGUUGGUGGGUAAAGGCCUACCAAGGCGACGAUCCGUAGCUGGUCUGAGAGGACGACCAGCCACACUGGAACUGAGACACGGUCCAGACUCCUACGGGAGGCGGCAGUGGGGAAUUUGGACAAUGGGCGCAAGCCUGAUCCAGCCAUUCCGCGUGAGUGAAGAAGGCCUUCGGUUGUAAAGCUCUUCGGCCGGAAGAAUCGCAUCAGCGAAUAACUGGUGUGGUAGUGACGGUACGGAAGAAGAGACACCGGCUAACUACGUAGCCAGCAGCCGAC